AGGACGAACGCUGGCGGCGUGCCUAAUACAUGCAAGUCGAACGGCUUUUCUAUGGAAGCUUGCUUCCACUGAGAAGAUAGUGGCGAACGGGUGAGUAACACGUGGGUAAACCCUGCCCAUAAGAGGGGGGAUAACAUCCGGAAACGGGUGCUAAUACCGCAUAGUUUCUUGAUCGCAUGAUCGGGAAAGGAAAGACGGCCUUUGUGCUGUCGCUUAUGGAUGGACCCGCGGCGUAUUAGUUAGUUGGUGAGGUAACGGCUCACCAAGACGAUGAUACGUAGCCGACCUGAGAGGGUGAUCGGCCACAUUGGGACUGAGACACGGCCCAAACUCCUACGGGAGGCAGCAGUAGGGAAUCUUCCGCAAUGGACGAAAGUCUGACGGAGCAACGCCGCGUGAGUGAAAGAAGGUUUUCGGAUCGUAAAACUCUGUUGUCAGAGAAGAACAAGUUGGAGAGUAACUGCUCCAGCCUUGACGGUAUCUGACCAGAAAGCCACGGCUAACUACGUGCCAGCCGCGGC
This 521-nucleotide ribosomal RNA is filed under the name uncultured bacterium. RNAcentral describes it as "bacterial SSU rRNA". It matches the Rfam family "Bacterial small subunit ribosomal RNA", at positions 26 to 518 of the family's 1533-position model. The record is from RNAcentral.